GAUGAACGCUGGCGGCGUGCCUAACACAUGCAAGUCGAACGAAGCACCUUACCUGAUUCUUCGGAUGCAAGUUUGGUGACUGAGUGGCGGACGGGUGAGUAACGCGUCGGUAACCUGCCCUGUACAGGGGGAUAACAGCUGGAAACGGCUGCUAAUACCGCAUACGCGCACGUGGAGACAUCUCCUUGUGUGAAAAACUCCGGUGGUACAGGAUGGGCCCGCGCCUGAUUAGCUGGUAGGCAGGGUAACGGCCUACCAAGGCAACGAUCAGUAGCCGGUCUGAGAGGAAGAACGGCCACAUUGGAACGGGGACACGGUCCAAACUCCUACGGGAGGCAGCAGUGGUGAAUAUUGCACAAUGGGGGAAACCCUGAUGCAGCAACGACGCGUGAGUGAAGAAGUAUUUCAGUAUGUAAAGCUCUAGCAGCAGUGAAGAUAAUGACGGUACCUGACUAAGAAGCUCCGGCUAAAUACGUG
This 477-nucleotide ribosomal RNA is filed under the name uncultured bacterium. RNAcentral describes it as "partial 16S ribosomal RNA". It matches the Rfam family "Bacterial small subunit ribosomal RNA", at positions 28 to 507 of the family's 1533-position model. The record is from RNAcentral.